Molecule: ribosomal RNA, 1085 nt
Filed under: Lebertia maculosa
Lineage: Eukaryota; Metazoa; Arthropoda; Arachnida; Trombidiformes; Lebertiidae
Description: partial large subunit ribosomal RNA
Rfam family: Eukaryotic large subunit ribosomal RNA
Source: RNAcentral
CCGCUUGCAAGCAAACAGAUGGACCCACGAAGUCCUGUUGAGUAAGAGAUUCAUAUACUCUAAGAGGCGAUGCUGUGUCGUUAUGAUGCUUCUUUAUUGAGGUUAGCGUUCACUGGUAUGCUGUUGAUUAGAGUGUGCAUUUCUUUUGCUCACGAUGGAGCUCUGACUGCUCAACUGAUACCUUACUGCUUUACGGCAGCCGUUAUUUGUGAGGUGUACUUUAAUUUAAGUACUCAUUUACUUGUGAUGGUGAAGUAAGUGAGGUGAUGUUGAGUAGGUGAAUAUCUAACAUUUAUGUUAGUAUCAGAUUAUCGAUGUCCUUCGUCGAUUGCCAAGAGUUUGGUGAGGAGAUAAUUUCGGCUCUUGUAGUUGAAAACCUCUUUACUAUAGGCUCUUAAGUGCAGUUGAAUGAGCAUCAAUGAUGAUCCAGAGUAAGUAGGUCGGUCAUCCAUCUGACCCGUCUUGAAACACGGACCAAGGAGCCCAACAAAUGCGCGAGUCGCUCAGUCUUGCAUAGGCUUGAGAGGCGAAAUAAACAUAACAGCAUGAUCUGGUUCCUUUCCCUUCAAACGGAAACACCAGCGCAAUGCUGACCUACUAUAGUUGCCUUCUGACAACUCGGUGGAGUCUGAGCGUAUUUGUUGGUACCCGAAAGAUGGUGAACUAUACUUGGGCAAGAUGAAGCCAGAGGAAACUCUGGUGGAGGUCUGUAGCGAUUCUGACGUGCAAAUCGAUCGUCAGACCUGAGUAUAGGGGCGAAAGACUAAUCGAACCAUCUAGUAGCUGGUUCCUUCCGAAGUUUCCCUCAGGAUAGCUGGCACAUACAAAGACUCUGUAGCACCCGGUAAAGAGAAUGAUUAGAGGUAUUGGGAUCGAAACGAUCUCAACCUAUUCUCAAACUUUGAAUGGGUGCGGAGCUUGACUUAUUUGAAGUGAAAUAAAGUCUUGCUUUUGUAAGAGUUGUGCCAAGUGGGCCAUUUUUGGUAAGCAGAACUGGCGCUGUGGGAUGAACCAAACACUAAGUUAAGGUACCAAAUGCGUACGCUCAUGAGACCCCAUGAAAGGUGUUGGUUGCUUAUGACAGC